RNAcentral lists this long non-coding RNA (553 nucleotides) under Apteryx owenii (little spotted kiwi). RNAcentral describes it as "lncRNA (ENSAOWG00000003079.1)". Lineage: Eukaryota; Metazoa; Chordata; Aves; Apterygiformes; Apterygidae. The record is from RNAcentral.
GGGAGACAAGGAAUGCACAGGCAGCCAAAAUAACAGCUUUGAUCUCUCUUUAACUUUUUGUAAGGUUAAGUGAAUGCCAGGCAAAUGAAAGAUGCCAGGAGAAGAGCUCUGCUCCUGAAAGAUAAAGGAGAAAACUCUGCCCAAUCAAGGAGGCACUUCUGUCUAUACUGGAGUGUACUUCUCUAACAGGAAUGAAAGAAAAGUUUCCCUGAGGACACAGGAAUGCAGAUGGUCACUCUGAGCCACACCUGACCUCUCAAGUACAGGCUCUAGACUCGAAAGCAGGAAAUAGCAGGCUGCAUCUUCUCCUUCGCAACAAACUGUGAAGAGCUUCAGCAGGAGGGCUUGGCUUCAGGGAGAGGCAAUGUAUUGGAACACAUUGCAAAAAACACUUCAUGCAAGAAAAUGUUGGGAAGAUGUCUUAGGCUGACGACACAGUUCAGUUGCAAAGUGCAGUGCUGGACGAGUCUCACAGAAGGAACCUGACGCAGGUCUGCUGCAAUUUAUACCAGCUGCUAUAUAUAUAUGGAAGACCUGGGGAAGAACUAUGGUG